This 733-nucleotide ribosomal RNA is filed under the name uncultured bacterium. Its description in RNAcentral is "bacterial SSU rRNA". It matches the Rfam family "Bacterial small subunit ribosomal RNA", at positions 103 to 827 of the family's 1533-position model. The record is from RNAcentral.
CGGGUGAGUAACACGUAGGUAACCUGCCCUCAAGACGAGGAUAACCGUUGGAAACGAUGGCUAAGACUGGAUAGGAACCGAGGAGGCAUCUCUUUGGUUUUAAAGGACCUGGCAACAGGUACGCUUGAGGAGGGGCCUGCGGCGCAUUAGUUAGUUGGCGGGGUGAAGGCCCACCAAGACGAUGAUGCGUAGCCGGACUGAGAGGUUGAACGGCCACAUUGGGACUGAGAGACGGCCCAAACUCCUACGGGAGGCAGCAGUAGGGAAUUUUCGGCAAUGGGGGCAACCCUGACCGAGCAACGCCGCGUGAACGACGAAGUACUUCGGUAUGUAAAGUUCUUUUAUCAGGGAAGAAUGGCUUACGGAAAAGUGAGCGUGACGGUACCUGAUGAAUAAGCCCCGGCUAACUAUGUGCCAGCAGCCGCGGUAAUACAUAGGGGGCAAGCGUUAUCCGGAAUUAUUGGGCGUAAAGGGUGCGUAGGUGGCCGUUUAAGUCUUUGGUGUAAGUGCAAGGCUCAACCUUGUGAUGCUAAAGAAACUGGAUGGCUUGAGUGUGGUAGAGGCAAGUGGAAUUCCAUGUGUAGCGGUAAAAUGCGUAAAUAUAUGGAGGAACACCGGUGGCGAAGGCGGCUUGCUGGGCCACAACUGACACUGAGGCACGAAAGCGUGGGGAGCAAACAGGAUUAGAUACCCUGGUAGUCCACGCCGUAAACGAUGAGUACUAAGUGUAGGG